AAAUUACUUCCAUACACCCUACACACAUUCCCCACACAUCCAAAUUAAUUCACUCUUUGGAAACGUUCAGCCUUUUUUUAAUUAAUAAAAUUCUGUGUGUGUGUGUGUGUGUGUGUGUGUGU
Long non-coding RNA from Etheostoma cragini (Arkansas darter), 122 nucleotides. RefSeq lists it as uncharacterized. Lineage: Eukaryota; Metazoa; Chordata; Actinopteri; Perciformes; Percidae. The record is from RefSeq and is a predicted model, not a curated record. The transcript has 2 exons.